RNAcentral lists this ribosomal RNA (213 nucleotides) under Triticum aestivum (bread wheat). Its description in RNAcentral is "partial small subunit ribosomal RNA". The record is from RNAcentral. Lineage: Eukaryota; Viridiplantae; Streptophyta; Magnoliopsida; Poales; Poaceae.
AUGACUAUCCUAAGUUGGAACUGCCGGGGGGUGGGGAACUCCCGGACAGUUCGAGACCUAGCGACUAUGAUCCAGUCGCAUUCCCCUAGCUUGGUUUUCCUUUAUGAAACUAGGCAAAGUAAGGAUAAGAUGAAAAGCUACCGAAAUAGGUUUGGUCUGCGAGGUUUUGAAGGUGUUAGCAGUGAUGGUAAUAGCGGGGGGCUUGCUCUCUAU